UCAGGCCUAACACAUGCAAGUCGAACGGAGAAUUCGGCUAAGUUUACUUAGAAGGAUUCUUAGUGGCGGACGGGUGAGUAACGCGUGGGUAACCGACCCUGAAGCGGGGGACAACCCGGGGAAACUCGGGCUAAUACCGCAUAAGACCACGAACUGGAACGUUAGUGGUAAAAGUAGCAAUACACUUCAGGACGGGCCUGCGGCCUAUCAGGUAGUUGGCGGGGUAACGGCCCACCAAGCCGACGACGGGUAGCCGGACUGAGAGGUUGAACGGCCACACUGGAACUGAGACACGGUCCAGACUCCUACGGGAGGCAGCAGUGGGGAAUUUUGCGCAAUGGGCGAAAGCCUGACGCAGCGGCGCCGCGUGGAGGAUGAAGGUCUUCGGGUCGUAAACUCCUUUUGUAGGGGAAGAUAAUGACGGUACCCUAUGAAUAAGCCACGGCUAACUCUGUGCCAGCAGCCGCGGUAAU
Molecule: ribosomal RNA, 473 nt
Filed under: uncultured soil bacterium
Lineage: Bacteria
Description: bacterial SSU rRNA
Rfam family: Bacterial small subunit ribosomal RNA
Source: RNAcentral